GAAGACAAUGGUGGAAUAGCGGAAUACAUCCAUGGUGGAAAUACAAAUACCAUCUGGCAGAGUUUGUUGUAUUGGAGUACAGAAAGCGUAGCUUAGUGAUAUCUAAAAGAUUUUUAAUGUCAUGGCUGAAUAUCAAGAUGAUUUAGACAAUGUGGAUGAG
This is a long non-coding RNA of Sebastes umbrosus (honeycomb rockfish), 160 nucleotides long. RefSeq lists it as uncharacterized. NCBI's taxonomy places the organism in Eukaryota, Metazoa, Chordata, Actinopteri, Perciformes, Sebastidae. The record is from RefSeq and is a predicted model, not a curated record. The transcript has 4 exons.